This 771-nucleotide unclassified non-coding RNA is filed under the name Hevea brasiliensis (rubber tree). The record is from RNAcentral. Lineage: Eukaryota; Viridiplantae; Streptophyta; Magnoliopsida; Malpighiales; Euphorbiaceae.
GAAGAAUCCAUUUGCGAAGAAAACGAAGAACCCUAUGGAGCUUCUCCGAUCAAACCUUGCUCGUGUUCGGAUUCCAGAGCCGACUACUCGUAUCUACAAGCACGAGUGCUGCAUUUCUUUCGAUACUCCGAAAUCCGAUGGCGGGCUGUUUGUUGAUAUGAGUACUUUUCUUGCAUUUGGAAGGGAUUGUGUUGAUUGGAACUAUGAGAAGACUGGGAACCCAGUUUAUUUGCAUAUAAAGCAGACAAAGAAGGCAGAUGCUGAAGAUAGACCGUCCAAAAAACCCACUCUCUUGGCUAUAGGUUUAGACGGAGGGUUUGAUAACAGUGAACCCCAGUACGAAGAAUUCUAUGAAAUAGUUAUAUUGCCUGAUAAUGUCACUCUUCCUUUCCCAUCGGUGGAAUUGCCUGAGAAGGUUAGAUUGGCUGUUGAUGCUAUUUUACUAGCUGAAGGUGCUGAGAGGAAAGAGCAACUUGCUUCCUGGACUGCUGACAAGAAGCUUGUCAGUAAAUAUGCUACGGAUCUGCAACAGCUUGACAAUGGUGUUGCUGUUCCACCUGUGGGUUGGAAAUGUGCGAAAUGUGACAAGACUGACAAUCUUUGGCUGAAUCUAACUGAUGGAACUAUCCUAUGUGGUAGGAAAAAUUGGGAUGGAACUGGUGGUAAUGACCAUGCAGUUAACCAUUACAAAGAAACUGGUUAUCCACUUGCUGUAAAGCUUGGGACCGUAACUGCUGAUUUGGAGGGGGCAGAUGUUUACUCCUAUCCAGA